RNAcentral lists this transfer RNA (72 nucleotides) under Felis catus (domestic cat). It matches the Rfam family "tRNA". Rfam says of the family: Transfer RNA (tRNA) molecules are approximately 80 nucleotides in length. Their secondary structure includes four short double-helical elements and three loops (D, anti-codon, and T loops). The record is from Rfam by way of RNAcentral. Lineage: Eukaryota; Metazoa; Chordata; Mammalia; Carnivora; Felidae.
GCCCGCUGGCUCCGUCGGUAGAGCAUGAGACUGUUGAUCUCAGGGUAGUGAGUUCAAGUCCCACGUUGGGUA